This 469-nucleotide long non-coding RNA is filed under the name Bos taurus (domestic cattle). RNAcentral describes it as "long non-coding RNA NONBTAT000144". Lineage: Eukaryota; Metazoa; Chordata; Mammalia; Artiodactyla; Bovidae. The record is from RNAcentral.
AUUUUUAGGAGCCAUUAAUCUCUACACUCUUAAUUAUCUUAUUAAGCUCCAUGCCAAAUCCAAAUCUCUUUUCAGCUUUCACUAGUUCAUUGUGCAAAACCUAGUCGCUUCUUUAACAGCCAUGCCUCCUUUCACUUUCAAAACUGUUACUGUGAAAACAACACCAACCAAAAUGAAUGCAUAAAUGCAAACUAUGAAACCACAUUAUAUGUCAUAUGAGUAGCCUUGGGUGGGGCUCCAUGAGUCUUCCAAGCCUUUAAAAAAAAAAAAAACUUUAAAAGGUUUUGCCCAUUUUGGUAUUGUGUUUUCUUCUCGAUCGACUACCUUCAUUCCCACCAUACACCCAGAUGCUUCUCCUAGACAGCAGUUGUCUGACAUUUCUCCUUUUGUGGUUGUUUUAGGGAAAAACUUAAAGUGGAUAUGAGAAGUGAAGAAAGUGAUCAUAGGAGAAAAUCAUCUCAGGUAAAAC